UCUGGUUUAACAUAUAUUUAAUGUGAGAGAUUGUAAAUCUUUUAAAAGCGUUUA
RNAcentral lists this transfer RNA (54 nucleotides) under Rhinebothrium sp. 1. RNAcentral's name for it is "tRNA-Tyr". Lineage: Eukaryota; Metazoa; Platyhelminthes; Cestoda; Rhinebothriidea; Rhinebothriidae. The record is from RNAcentral.